Molecule: ribosomal RNA, 433 nt
Filed under: Parananochromis ornatus
Lineage: Eukaryota; Metazoa; Chordata; Actinopteri; Cichliformes; Cichlidae
Description: partial 16S ribosomal RNA
Rfam family: Bacterial large subunit ribosomal RNA
Source: RNAcentral
UUGUCUUUUAAAUGAAGACCUGUAUGAAUGGCAUAACGAGGGCUUAACUGUCUCCUUUUUCCAGUCAAUGAAAUUGAUCUUCCCGUGCAGAAGCGGGAAUACCUACAUAAGACGAGAAGACCCUAUGGAGCUUUAGACACCAAAAUAGAUCAUGCCAAAUGUUCCUAAUAAAAGGACAAAACUAAUUGACCCCUAUUUCAAUGUCUUUGGUUGGGGCGACCGCGGGGAAACAAAAAACCCCCACGUGGACCGAGAGUACAUUACUCCCACAACCCAGAGUUACAACUCAAAGUAACAGAACUUCUGACCAACAAGAUCCGGCACUAGCCGAUCAACGGACCGAGUUACCCCAGGGAUAACAGCGCAAUCCUCUUUUAGAGGCCCUAUCGACAAGGGGGUUUACGACCUCGAUGUUGGAUCAGGACAUCCUAAU